UACCCUACGGGGCGCAGCAGUGAGGAAUAUUGGUCAAUGGCCGAGAGGCUGAACCAGCCAAGUCGCGUGAGGGAAGACGGCCCUACGGGUUGUAAACCUCUUGUCGGGGAGCAAAGAGAGUCACGUGUGACUCAUUGAGAGUACCCGAAGAAAAAGCAUCGGCUAACUCCGUGCCAGCAGCCGCGGUAAUACGGAGGAUGCGAGCGUUAUCCGGAUUUAUUGGGUUUAAAGGGUGCGCAGGCGGAAGCGCAAGUCAGCGGUAAAAUUGAGAGGCUCAACCUCUUCCCGCCGUUGAAACUGCGUUU
RNAcentral lists this ribosomal RNA (305 nucleotides) under uncultured bacterium. RNAcentral describes it as "bacterial SSU rRNA". It matches the Rfam family "Bacterial small subunit ribosomal RNA", at positions 335 to 640 of the family's 1533-position model. The record is from RNAcentral.